CCGCGUGAAUGGAUGAAAGGCCUUUAGGGUUGUAAAGUUACCUUUCACCCUGUGAAGACUAAUGGACGGUAGCAGGAGAAGAAGCCCCCGGCUAACUCCGUGC
RNAcentral lists this ribosomal RNA (103 nucleotides) under uncultured bacterium. Its description in RNAcentral is "partial 16S ribosomal RNA". The record is from RNAcentral.